Molecule: ribosomal RNA, 471 nt
Filed under: uncultured bacterium
Lineage: Bacteria
Description: bacterial SSU rRNA
Rfam family: Bacterial small subunit ribosomal RNA
Source: RNAcentral
UCACGCACUCCUACGGGAGGCAGCAGUGGGGAAUAUUGCACAAUGGGCGCAAGCCUGAUGCAGCCAUGCCGCGUGUAUGAAGAAGGCCUUCGGGUUGUAAAGUACUUUCAGCAGUGAGGAAGGUGGGUAUGUUAAUAGCAUAUUCAUUUGACGUUAGCUGCAGAAGAAGCACCGGCUAACUCCGUGCCAGCAGCCGCGGUAAUACGGAGGGUGCGAGCGUUAAUCGGAAUUACUGGGCGUAAAGCGCAUGCAGGUGGUUUGUUAAGUCAGAUGUGAAAGCCCGGGGCUCAACCUCGGAAUUGCAUUUGAAACUGGCAAACUAGAGUACUGUAGAGGGGGUAGAAUUUCAGGUGUAGCGGUGAAAUGCGUAGAGAUCUGAAGGAAUACCGGUGGCGAAGGCGGCCCCCUGGACAGAUACUGACACUCAGAUGCGAAAGCGUGGGGAGCAAACAGGAUUAGAUACCCUGGUAG